Zerene cesonia (dogface butterfly) is the source of this 3943-nucleotide long non-coding RNA. RefSeq lists it as uncharacterized. The transcript has 2 exons. The record is from RefSeq and is a predicted model, not a curated record. NCBI's taxonomy places the organism in Eukaryota, Metazoa, Arthropoda, Insecta, Lepidoptera, Pieridae.
CGGGCGGCGGCGGGGGCGCGGACGGCGCGGUGGAGGCGGCGCGCUGCCACUCGGCGGACGGCAGCGACGCGGAGGACGCGCUGGACGACAUCCCGCCCGACUCGGACGACGAGCCCGAGGACGCGCCCGCGCUGCCGCCGCCGCCGCAGGGCGCCGAGUACAUCGCGCUCGUGAAGGAGGCGGUGCAGGCGCUGGCGAGCCGCGCGAGCCGCGGGCGGGCCGCGCGCGCCGACUGAGUGUCGCUCACCCCGUGGCGCCUCACCGCGCGCACGCUCAACAUGUUCAACGUGUAGACUCGCUCCCGUCGCGUACCCGUUACGUUCCUGUCGCGUACUCGUCGCGUACCCGUCGCGUAACCGUUACGUACUCGUUGCGUACCAGCACUGUACCCGCCCCGUCGUGCACCCCUCACAUACCCGUCAUGGUCUCCGUGUGAGUGCUUCACAGGCACUAUCGUGUAACUCCGUGUAAUCGUUUUAUCAAAUCUACAAUCUACAUACGCCGAAUAAAUAAAGAGGGCGUAACAGAAAUGUCCAUCACGGGUUUUUCGCGUUAUCUGCACGUAAGUGGGACUUUGGGCAGUACGUCUGUCAAUAUAUAACGUAUAUGUUGGACAUUACUCACGAGUCUACGUGUGUUUAGAGACUUUCACGUGACAAAUUAAAUUUGUGACUAGAUGUUUUUGAUGUUACUACCGUGAUUAAAAGACUAUCCAAAGCUAAUUGUGAAAAAUACUACAAUUUUAUAAUUUAUAUUGCUCUGAACAAUAAUUUGUUAUGGCAAAACUAUUAUUACCCUUGCUUUUCUAAUAUUGGAACUCUGAAUUCACUGUUACGUUAUAUGCAUUACAUAAUAAUAUUCGGGUGUCACGCUAUCUGCUAUACAUAGCAAGACAAACGCGCACUUAUACAUAUAUACUAAUACAUCUCCAAAUGGAAACUGAUUGCUCAUAAUGAGUAAUGUAAAGUACGAAGUGUGGUACAUGGACUUUGAUGACAUACCGAGUCCAAUUUUAUAUCUCUUAGAGUUAAUCUGAAAAUUUAUGUACCUAUUUUUCAUUUUCUGUGAAGUGUGUGUUUAUUUUAUAUCUUAAUUGAUAUCAGUUUGGCCAUUCUGAAAAACAAACUCCUCCUGGAGUCUGUUUUUCAAAAUAAAGUGAAAGUAUAUCGAGGUUGCACGAACUUCAGUUUGUUAUUAUCUUCGUAUGUACGAGCAUUCGUGUAUUUUGCGGUAAAACUUAGUUAGUUACUCGCUAUUAACGGCUAGUGCAGCGAUUUUAUUGGUUAUUAAAUAUAUUUAUCACAAUUUUUUAUUGAAUUAAGUAAAUUUAAGUGCGUUGAGUGUUGUUUUAGAUGGCGCUUUAUGUGUUGCUUAAAUUGAUAUUGCGCCAAUUCUGUUGAACGUGUUUGAACGAAGGAAUUGUUUUUGUAUAGUUUAUGUAAAAUUUAAUUUUGUACAUAAUGAUGUACAAUUGGUGUAAAUGUAUGCUACAUUCCAUAUCCCACAUCACAAUAUGCAAUACGAGAGUUAUUUAGCCAUGACGAGACAAUGGAUGUACGUUAUGGCCAAAAUAGGCGAUGGAUUAUUAUUGGUUUCGUCUUACAUGUGUGUUUAUUGCGAAAUAAACGUAUUAUUUCAUGCCAAAAUUAUAGUACAUUAAUUUCGUUUAUAAAAUACUGAAAGUUCAUUUUCGCGUGCUUUGGCCACCUUCACCCACAAGGUGAAGCGUGUUUAAUUCGGCAUCAAGUAAUGCACAAUGCACACGAAAGUCAACUUUAAUGUACCUCACACUUGUAUAAUAUUAUAAAUAGGCAUACAGUUAAAAAAUAAAAUUAUGAGUAUUCGUCAUUAUUAUUUUAGAUAUAAAUAACUAUCUAAAAAAAUUAUAUGUUUAUUUUCGCAAUAACCAUUCUUAUUUUCCAUAUUUCGUACAGUCUUUUCUUUGUUUUACCCGUCAGAAACAGCUGAUAUAUAUAACUAUGAAUAGACUGUACUAAUUUUUAAAUUCUAUGUAUUUAAGUUCGGAAAUUUCGCAUUCAAUCAAAAUUUAACAUUAAAGUGUUUCGAUGUACCUAAUUUCAAUUUUACUCUUUUAAGACUGUUUUGGAUUUAAGUUUUAGGAUGUAUAUUAUGAGGAGAUCGUGUUUGUAGAAAUAGUUGGUAAAUUUUAUCAUUAACUUUUAUAUGCUAUAUCCUAAAAACAGUUGUAGUAUUUUCAAAAUAUUUUUUAGUUCCGAAUAACUUUUCGAAGAGAAACAUUAUCUUCUCGAUAAGUCCUGUGUAGGAAUCUCGUAGUUUUCAUAUAUAUUAUUUUAAAAUUAUUAAACUAGUUCAGUAAUUAUAAACACGUACACCGUAAUAACACGUGAGGAAGAGUGGUUUCGUUAUUUGGUUACUGAAGUUGGUAAAGUAUUGAUAGAUAAUAGAGGUUGCUCUAAAGCUAUUUGGUUUUCGCAAAUUGCUUCGUCAAAAUUGUGUUACGGCUGUGAAUGAUUUCCUAGUUUAAGUGUGUGUGUGUGACCUAAGUAGAAUGUAAAAUUGCCUGCUUAGAUAAUCCCAGUACUAAUGAAUGUAUGAUAAUUUUAUACCUAUCGUAAGUUUUACACCCGUCCAAACACCUUUAUUCAUUUAAACCAUCGCGAUUUUAACCUAGGCCAGUACCAACGUAUAGGGUAUAAAAUAAUAUGAUAAAAUUUCGACAUAAUUGUAAACUCGUAAAUUUGUUGUUAUCGAUGUGAAAAACAUUUUUAAGUAAAUAAAUAAUAAUUAAGUAAUUUAAUUAAGACGCUGGCAGUUCAUGGAGUAUUUUUUGUUUUUUUUUUAUUCAUUAUUCGAUGGUUGAAAAAUCGGUAGUAAAACCAAAAUAGAUAUAUGAUUUGUCUAAAUUUUACGUUUUAAAUUCGUAUCAAUAAUUAACAUGGUAUUUUUGUAUCGAUUUUAAAAAAUAUAUUGAUUAACGAGAUAAAGAAAAGCUGUCUACAGCGUGUCGCUUCUAUUAGAAACUUUUAGAAAAUUGCUUUACACAUUUUUGUACAUAGCUCAAUAUGAGUAUAAUAUAUUUUGUACAUCUAUGUUCGCAUUACAUCUACCGUCAUUUAUAUUAGUUAUGUGCGCUGUUCUUCUAUUAUUCUGAUUGCGAUCUUAUGAACGAUGCGUAUGGUAACAAUUACACUGCCGAGUUAUCUUACCGAAAUAUGUCUUUUUAUAAUGGCAACAGACAAACAAUUCGUAUCGUGCAUGCGUAAAUUGUUCGGUCUGUUACUUUAUAUCCCGCACCUAUGGAUGUCAACGUAUUCAUUAUCUUCGUAGAAAAUCAGGAUCGUUCUGUUAUAGUAAUAAAACUUAAAAUUAAAGGCGUCUUAUUUUAUCUAAAGUAAGGAAAGUACAGUACUAGAUGAUAUAAGGCUUGCGUUAACCGAAUCAAAUCGUUGGGUAGCGAUGUUUGUAUGAAAGUUACGGAGGCGCAAAUCUACUGUAAAAUGCGUUAGCGCAGAGUCUUGUCAUUUACAUAUAAAUAUAGCGGAUAGCAUUUUUAAAAAUCCAUAAAUAAUUAGGAAUCGUAUGAAGCAAUAUUAGUCGGUUUUAAAUGUUUAUCUAAACGUAAUAGCUAUUAAAUAAUAAGCAUUUGGAUGUUUUGGAUUGUUAGAGUCACUGGUCGAUUUUCUAAAAGGGUUAUGAUGUAAUGUGGUGCUAACAAUCAGAGUUGAGUGGAUGGUUAAUGAGACAAAAUGUAUAUUUAAUUUUGUCCUGAUUUUAGAGCUUAUUAAUAUAUAUCUAACAUUACUAUAGCUACACUGUAAUUAUCUUUAUUUUAAGAUUUAAUAUUAAUUUUCACAUAAAUUGUGCCGCAACAUAUAAGCUUUUCAUAGUAUUUGCGGAAUAUGACCUUGUAUAAUCGUUUGUGUAUUAUACUUAGUGAUUUGUAAUAAAAGUUCAAUUUAAU